GAUGAAGAACGCAGCGAAAUGCGAUAAGUAAUGUGAAUUGCAGAAUUCAGUGAAUCAUCGAAUCUUUGAACGCACAUUGCGCCCGCCAGUAUUCUGGCGGGCAUGCCUGUUCGAGCGUCAUUUCAACCAUCAAGCCCCCGGCUUGUGUUGGGGACCUGCGGCUGCCGCAGGCCCUGAAAAGCAGUGGCGGGCUCGCUGUCACACCGAGCGUAGUAGCAUACAUCUCGCUCUGGGCGUGCUGCGGGUUCCGGCCGUUAAACCACCUUCAUAACCCAAGGUUGACCUCGGAUCAGGUAGGAAGACCCGCUGAACUUAAACAUAUCAAUAAGCGGAGGA
This 336-nucleotide unclassified non-coding RNA is filed under the name soil metagenome. RNAcentral's name for it is "partial contains 5.8S ribosomal RNA, internal transcribed spacer 2, and large subunit ribosomal RNA". The stretch from base 1 to 120 matches the Rfam family "5.8S ribosomal RNA", at positions 35 to 154 of the family's 154-position model. The record is from RNAcentral.